AGUGAACGCUGGCGGUAGGCCUAACACAUGCAAGUCGAACGGCAGCACAGUAAGAGCUUGCUCUUACGGGUGGCGAGUGGCGGACGGGUGAGGAAUACAUCGGAAUCUACUUUUUCGUGGGGGAUAACGUAGGGAAACUUACGCUAAUACCGCAUACGACCUACGGGUGAAAGCAGGGGAUCUUCGGACCUUGCGCGAUUGAAUGAGCCGAUGUCGGAUUAGCUAGUUGGCGGGGUAAAGGCCCACCAAGGCGACGAUCCGUAGCUGGUCUGAGAGGAUGUUCAGCCACACUAGAACUGAGACACGGUCCAGACUCCUACGGGAGGCAGCAGUGGGGAAUAUUAGACAAUGGGCGCAAGCCUGAUCCAGCCAUACCGCGUGGGUGAAGAAGGCCUUCGGGUUGUAAAGCCCUUUUGUUGGGAAAGAAAAGCAGCAGGUUAAUACCCCGCUGUUCUGACGGUACCCAAAGAAUAAGCACCGGCUAACUUCGUG
This 492-nucleotide ribosomal RNA is filed under the name uncultured bacterium. RNAcentral describes it as "partial 16S ribosomal RNA". It matches the Rfam family "Bacterial small subunit ribosomal RNA", at positions 29 to 507 of the family's 1533-position model. The record is from RNAcentral.